Long non-coding RNA from Venturia canescens, 1955 nucleotides. RefSeq lists it as uncharacterized. The transcript is spliced from 5 exons. The record is from RefSeq and is a predicted model, not a curated record. Lineage: Eukaryota; Metazoa; Arthropoda; Insecta; Hymenoptera; Ichneumonidae.
CACUAGCCAACGCGUUGGAGAGUCGCGAGGGAUUGCCGUCGUCCGGCGCUCCCGAGAAAACAUACACAGAGAUAUAUAAACGCGCGCGGAUGGAGAGCAGAACGGUAGAAAUGUACGUGUCGCACGAGCGGGGGCGACGAGAGGGGGAUGACAGAGAGGUCUACAAACUCGACGAGAUGAACGCGGCGUAUUGAGAGAGGCGGGAUUUUGCGCAAACUUUUCAACGAAUAAGGCACCGAGACGGUGACCAUUCGCCACGCCUACGCCACCCUUACGAUGUAUUCCAGAGGAUGUUUCAUCUGUGUGUACAUAAUAUAUGUAUACAGGUACGUGUACAGCGCCAGGAUUUUCGCGUUACUCUGCAAGCCGUGAAUACGAAAUGUCCCCUCUUCCUCGCGUAAUCAAUGUGAGCUUGUGAGCGAGAGGAAAGGAGGGAAGGAGAGGGAGAGGAAGCGCGUUGAUCGUGUCGCUACGCGGCAACCGAAGCACGGAGGAAAAUAAGCGUGGCUCGAUUCGGAUGGCUGAAAAACUCAUGGAACAUUCCGCAGGCUUCUUAUCUCGCGGAGUCGUUCCGUCGUGAAUUCACAGAGACUUACAGCUUUCCAAGUAAAUCAAAAAAUACCAUAAAAACAUGAUUGAAGAAUUUGACAAUUCUGAAAAAACAAAAGGACCGACAAGCCGAACGAAAUUGGUACACAUGUGAAAAAAAGGCUAAUCGAACGCGAUUGAUUGAUAUUUGACUAUUUCGAAAAUCGCUUGAAAAAAAGUGAAAUUCAACGUGAGCCUGGUCCACAAAUACGGAGAUAAAUGAUCGAUCAUGGUAGAACGCCAUGUAGGUGCUCUAUCAAGCUGCUUGUGAUUGUCAGAGGGGCUUCGAUCGAGGCCACCCGGUGGUACAAUGUUGGCGGAAUGCCACGUGCCACGCCAAGUUGAGCAGCUAGGUGAGGCUCGCCGCGAAGCUUUGUGCUUCUAUUGAUAGUUCUUAAGAGUAAACGUGGCACUACCGAUUGAACAACACUAUAUUUGGCCAUGUGGCAAUCGUCGUGCACGCAGAGAGGAAUCGUUGGAUCAACUACGAAUCUCUUUACGAAGUGCCAAUGCGCCUCUAUGUUUGUCAAUGAAUGGUGUCCGAGGGAGCAACGAUGGCGGUGCAGCUCAAAGAUCCUUCACUGGAAGGUUAACAUCUUAUUUCAUUCGCAGAAACUGUUACUGCGAACUACAAGAAAAAAACUGGACAGUGCAGAUUUGUAGAUAUUUAUUAACCAAAAUUCAUGGUAAACUGGCAGAAAAAAUUAUGAAAUAUUUGGAUCUGUAUAAUUGUCAUUUUUGUAUUUUCUGGGCAAACUAUUCUAAUCUCAGGCAAACUUUCUUAUGACAGAGAGAAUUAAAUUAAAUAAUCAGAAUUGUGUAACGGAGAGUAUUUGAACAAAAACGUGUAUAAAAAUUGAUGCAUCCUCCAAACAAUCGAGUAUUUAUUCAGCAGAUGAUUACGAAAACUUUUAAUUUGAAAAAAUGUUGUAUUUCUUUUUUAAACGCUUAUCAAUAAUUUUUUUCAAUAUUCCUCCAUUCCAAUAUAUCCGGAAAUCUCUUAAAAACUGAUAAAAAAUAGUCCAUUUUGUCAAAACAUGUUCACCAUCAAUAAAUGUGCAAUCGAGUUUCAAUUCGUUGUAUUUACGAAAUCGUCAGAAAACGUUGCGUCGCAAUAUCCGUAAGGAUUGAAAAAAGGGCACACAUUAAUGUACAAUAUGAGAAUUUUUCUUUAUAAGAGCAAGCGAAAAUUCCGCGAAGAAAAACAUUUCCAAAGAAGGAAAAUGCACAUCGUACAUCCAACACGAUCUGUUUGAAGGGGAUUUUUCAAUGAAGACAACUCGAAUCUCCGAUACCAUGGAAUACAUUUACCCGGCGUCAGACUCACAAAAAACGAUCAAGAGUUAAUGCAAAAUACGAAAGCAAUG